GACGAACGCUGGCGGCGUGCUUAACACAUGCAAGUCGAACGGAAAGGCCCUGCUUUUGUGGGGUGCUCGAGUGGCGAACGGGUGAGUAACACGUGAGUAACCUGCCCUUGACUUUGGGAUAACUUCAGGAAACUGGGGCUAAUACCGGAUAGGAGCUCCUGCUGCAUGGUGGGGGUUGGAAAGUUUCGGCGGUUGGGGAUGGACUCGCGGCUUAUCAGCUUGUUGGUGGGGUAGUGGCUUACCAAGGCUUUGACGGGUAGCCGGCCUGAGAGGGUGACCGGCCAAAUGGGGACGGGGAUAGGGCCCAACCCCCUAGGGGGGGGAGGAGGGGGGAAUAUGGCCAAAGGGGGGGAGGCCUGAGGAAGAACCGCCGGGGGGGGGAUGGGGGCCUUGGGGUGGUAAACCGUUUUCCCCUGGGACGAGGGGGGGGGGACGGUAAUGGGUAAAAAAGCACCGCCUAACUACGG
RNAcentral lists this ribosomal RNA (467 nucleotides) under uncultured bacterium. Its description in RNAcentral is "partial 16S ribosomal RNA". It matches the Rfam family "Bacterial small subunit ribosomal RNA", at positions 28 to 506 of the family's 1533-position model. The record is from RNAcentral.